CCCGCAGUUGGCUGGAUUUGUC
This 22-nucleotide microRNA is filed under the name Heligmosomoides polygyrus. RNAcentral's name for it is "hpo-miR-232a-5p". Its record names the gene hpo-miR-232a-5p. Lineage: Eukaryota; Metazoa; Nematoda; Chromadorea; Rhabditida; Heligmosomidae. The record is from miRBase by way of RNAcentral.